GACAGAGGGUGCAAACGUUGUUCGGAUUUACUGGGCGUAAAGCGCGUGUAGGCGGCUUGGCAAGUCGGAUGUGAAAGCCCACGGCUCAACCGUGGAAGCGCAUCCGAAACGGCCUCGCUCGAGUCUCGGAGAGGAAGGUGGAAUGCUUGGUGUAGAGGUGAAAUUCGUAGAUAUGACAUAGAACACCAAUUGCGAAGGCAGCUCGUUACACGAAGAUUGACUCUGAGGCACGAAAGCGUGGGGAUCAAACAGG
This 253-nucleotide ribosomal RNA is filed under the name uncultured bacterium. RNAcentral describes it as "partial 16S ribosomal RNA". It matches the Rfam family "Bacterial small subunit ribosomal RNA", at positions 524 to 776 of the family's 1533-position model. The record is from RNAcentral.